UACGGAGGAGGCGAGCGUUAUCCGGAUUUAUUGGGUUUAAAGGGUGCGCAGGCGGCACGGCAAGCCGGCGGUCAAAUCGCGGGGCUCAACCCCGCCCAGCCGUCGGAACUGCCGGGCUAGAGUGGGCGAGAAGUGCGCGGAAUGCGUGGUGUAGCGGUGAAAUGCAUAGAUAUCACGCAGAACUCCGAUUGCGAAGGCAGCGCACCGGCGCCCUACUGACGCUCAGGCACGAAAGCGUGGGUAUCGAACAGG
This 252-nucleotide ribosomal RNA is filed under the name uncultured bacterium. Its description in RNAcentral is "partial 16S ribosomal RNA". It matches the Rfam family "Bacterial small subunit ribosomal RNA", at positions 524 to 776 of the family's 1533-position model. The record is from RNAcentral.